AAAAGUAGGUGUCUACACUACCAGGAACCAAAUCAAUCAUUAUAGUCCCGUGAUCCGAAAUAAAAAUAGGGAAAUUCCAAACUUUUGCCUCCGGAAACGCUGUUCUCCAACCAUCAUUACAGUAUGCUCGGUCAAGCUGCUCAAAGAUUAUAUCCCCAUUCUAAGGGACAUUAACGUUUAGAAGGUAACGGGGGUAACGGUAGAUGGUGACGGUGAAUCCUCAAUUGCGCGCUGCCAAUUUGGAACAGUGCAUCGUUAAAAUCCAAAAAGUAACAAAAUACAAAACCUUCCCAAUCUUCUCUUUACUCCUUCAGUUUUUCGUCCACCAGAAACCACUUUCUCACCUGGAAACGAGCAUUGUCCAUUAAUCCCGAAGAUAUCUCAGUCGGACGGAGCUAAUUCCCUCAUUUUCUGGGUUCCGAACAUACGUGCAAUUAGAUCUUUUUUUUUUGACAGGAAAGCUCAACUUACUCUAUUAAGGCUUGUCCUUAAGGACCAAAAGAGCUACAUCAGUUGGCACUCCUCCAUCCACACUAGCGUCUCUUCGAAACCAAGAGAGGCACUAGUCAUGGCAUGGGCUGCCUUAUUACAUUUUCUGUUUGCAAAAAGGAAAUUACAAGCUUCGAAGCCAGCAGCCAGGUUCAAAGUAUCAUCAACGAUAAUCUGUGCUCUUAAAUUUUCUUUCUUCUUAUGUCUGAGCAUCUCAAUCAGGUAUUGGCAGUCACUCUCAAGCUCCACUUUUCUGAACCAUGCAUCCCACGCAUACUGCAGUCCAAAUUGGGCAGCUAAAGCCUCUGCCUGGAGAGCUGUCAUGGCUGAUCCCCUACAUUCAUCUGCAGACAUCAGGGUGUCUCCUACUGAAUCGCGUACAACCAUGCCUAUGCCUAUCUUAUUCUCCCUUACAGCUGUGUCUUUAUUUAUCACUCUGCCUUGGGUGGGUGCCGGCCACCCAUUUUCAGUAUUCUGUUGUGCAUCAACUUAAUUUGUCAGUUUCACGAUGCCUUGCAGCUUCAUACUCGCCUAGUAGACUUACAGUACGCAUACCAGCUAGACCAGGGUAUGUUCUUUUUCUUUCAAAUACCCAUGUGAUGCGAUUGCUCCAUAUCUGCCGCAUGAACAUCAUGAUUAGCUCCCAUGCCCUCUCCUCCUUCCAAGAUGAAAAGUUUGUUUUGUGGGUAUCUCAAUUUCUUUGAGUUAGGGAUUCAAAUAUGUGUCUUAGUGGAAUUUGUUUUGAUUUCUUGAUAUGUGAUUGGUAUAAUUUAAAUAUUUUGAUGAAGUUAAAUCAAUUUUGAAA
This is a long non-coding RNA of Spinacia oleracea (spinach), 1294 nucleotides long. RefSeq lists it as uncharacterized. The transcript is spliced from 2 exons. The record is from RefSeq and is a predicted model, not a curated record. NCBI's taxonomy places the organism in Eukaryota, Viridiplantae, Streptophyta, Magnoliopsida, Caryophyllales, Amaranthaceae.